GGCACAUUGUCCUUGUAACGGGAAUCCAGCAGGCUGGCCACCCAGUAAUCAGCACAAGUUAGAAUGUGGGCAACUCGUCAGUCGUUGCGCGGGCACUUUGGUUACUCUAGAUAACCUCGGGGCGAUCGCACGUCCCCGUGACGGCGACGACGCAUUCGGAUGUUUGCCCUAUCAACUUUCGAUGGUACUUUCUGCGCCUGCCAUGGUGACCAGGGGUAACGGGGAAUCAGGGUUCGAUUCCA
Non-coding RNA from Pelobates cultripes (western spadefoot toad), 242 nucleotides. NCBI's taxonomy places the organism in Eukaryota, Metazoa, Chordata, Amphibia, Anura, Pelobatidae. The record is from the annotation of a GenBank genome assembly.